UCCUGAUUUGUGACAAAAAAAUGUAAAAUAGUCUAAUAUUUUUUUAUAUUUUGAAUGUAAAAUAAAUAAACUAAAAUAAAACAAAAGAUACAUCUUUUUCAUUUCCGUAGUAAGUUAUUCUAAAAGAUAGUAAGAAUAGUUGAUAUUCCAAGACAUCCUGAGUAAAAGUGUAAAACCUCAUUGAGCCUUAAGUGUACCGCAUGAUAA
This 207-nucleotide long non-coding RNA is filed under the name Brassica rapa (field mustard). RNAcentral describes it as "long non-coding RNA (BRAP_LNC001868)". The record is from RNAcentral. Lineage: Eukaryota; Viridiplantae; Streptophyta; Magnoliopsida; Brassicales; Brassicaceae.